Molecule: unclassified non-coding RNA, 327 nt
Filed under: soil metagenome
Description: partial contains 5.8S ribosomal RNA, internal transcribed spacer 2, and large subunit ribosomal RNA
Rfam family: 5.8S ribosomal RNA (bases 1-120)
Source: RNAcentral
GAUGAAGAACGUAGCGAAAUGCGAUAAGUAAUGUGAAUUGCAGAAUUCAGUGAAUCAUCGAACCUUUGAACGCACAUUGCGCCCCUUGGUAUUCCGGGGGGCAUGCCUGUUCGAGCGUCAUUAUAACCCCUCAAGCUCAGCUUGGUGUUGGGGCCUGCCGACUGGCAGCCCUUAAAAUCAGUGGCGGCGCCAUCUGGCUCUAAGCGUAGUAAUUUCUCUCGCUAUAGAGUCCCGGUGGAUGCUUGCCAGCAACCCCCAACUUUCUAUGGUUGACCUCGGAUCAGGUAGGGAUACCCGCUGAACUUAAGCAUAUCAAUAAGCGGAGGA